Non-coding RNA from Paramuricea clavata, 75 nucleotides. The record is from the annotation of a GenBank genome assembly. Lineage: Eukaryota; Metazoa; Cnidaria; Anthozoa; Malacalcyonacea; Plexauridae.
GACCUCGUAGCUCAGUUGGUGUAGAGCAUUGGACUAGUAUCCCAAAGGUAGCGGGUUCGAUUCCUGCCGUGGUUA